CCUUCCACGCUCACCAUCGCUACCUCCAUGUCCCUUUCUCAAUGAAGCCAGCCUCAAGAAACCACCAGCAACGAUAGAGAACUCGCUGCCCUGCUCUGCAAGAGACAACAACAAAGAAAAAACAAGCGGAAGAGGUUGCUGCUGGAAUCGUCAGGUUCCACAAAGAGAAAGUUACUUGAAGAUGGGUAAGCUGUGAAAAUUUGCUACAACACUCUUUGAUGAACUUUGAAACCAAAUACUGCUAUUAAAUUCUCUAUUUUAAUCAUGGGUGUGGCUGACUUGACCAGCAUUUAUUGCCCGUCGCUAGUUGCCUUUGAGGAGUUGGUGGUGAGCUGUCUUCUUGAACCACUGAAAUCCAUUUGCUGUAAGUUGACCCAAAUGUCCUUUGGAAGGGAAUUACUGGAAAUUCAACUCGCGACAGUGAAGGAGUUGUGACAUAUUUCCAAGUCAAGAUGGGGUGGCUUUUAAAACUUUGGUUGUACUUCAGCCCCACCCGCCUGACCUACGGGCACACAGUGUGGAAGAGGGGCGGUGGCUGACAAGAAGGAGGGUUUCCUCAUGUUCCUGCUCUUGCCCUUAGCCAAAAGACAUCAACAAGUCCUAAUGAAAGGUUCCGACCUGAACCACCAACUCCCCAUCUCCUCUGAUGCUGCCUGACCUGCUGUGCUUUUCCCAGCUCCAUCUUUAUCCACUGCGACUCUCCAUCAUCUGCAGUUCUCAUUAUCUCCAUCAACAGGUCCAAGCAGUGGCCAGGGAUUGAGUCAAAAUACCCCACAUCUACCCAUAGUUCACAGUUACAUCCACACUUGUGUGUCCAUUGAGAUGCAAUAUUCACUGACCUCUAGUGAUUGGUGGACACCACAGGAGCUGAAGCGCAUUAUUGCCUUAAUAAAGAUAUUUUGGGUUAGUUUUGAUAAGCAAACAUUGCAGUUCAGUGAGUUUCUGCUUGGCUUUUGUUUUUUGUUCCUGUGCACCAGCAGGGACUCUCUAACCUGUUGAAGUUUUAUUUUUAAGAGUUGAUCAUCAACU
Molecule: non-coding RNA, 1029 nt
Organism: Chiloscyllium plagiosum (whitespotted bambooshark)
Lineage: Eukaryota; Metazoa; Chordata; Chondrichthyes; Orectolobiformes; Hemiscylliidae
Source: RefSeq, a predicted model, not a curated record